UAGGGAAUCUUCGGCAAUGGGGGCAACCCUGACCGAGCAACGCCGCGUGAGUGAAGAAGGUUUUCGGAUCGUAAAGCUCUGUUGUAAGUCAAGAACGAGUGUGAGAGUGGAAAGUUCACACUGUGACGGUAGCUUACCAGAAAGGGACGGCUAACUACGUGCCUGCAGCCGCGGUAAUACGUAGGUCCCGAGCGUUGUCCGGAUUUAUUGGGCAUAAAGCGAGCGCAGGCGGUUUGAUAAGUCUGAAGUUAAAGGCUGUGGCUCAACCAUAGUUCGCUUUGGAAACUGUCAAACUUGAGUGCAGAAGGGGAGAGUGGAAUUCCAUGUGUAGCGGUGAAAUGCGUAGAUAUAUGGAGGAACACCGGUGGCGAAAGCGGCUCUCUGGUCUGUAACUGACGCUGAGGCUCGAAAGCGUGGGGAGCGAACAGGAUUAGAUACCCUGGUAGUCCACGCCGUAAACGAUGAGUGCUAGGUGUUGGAUCCUUUCCGGGAUUCAGUGCCGCAGCUAACGCAUUAAGCACUCCGCCUGGGGAGUACGACCGCAAGGUUG
RNAcentral lists this ribosomal RNA (550 nucleotides) under uncultured bacterium. RNAcentral describes it as "bacterial SSU rRNA". It matches the Rfam family "Bacterial small subunit ribosomal RNA", at positions 355 to 896 of the family's 1533-position model. The record is from RNAcentral.